RNAcentral lists this ribosomal RNA (2182 nucleotides) under seawater metagenome. RNAcentral describes it as "bacterial LSU rRNA". It matches the Rfam family "Bacterial large subunit ribosomal RNA", at positions 1 to 2003 of the family's 2925-position model. The record is from RNAcentral.
GAGAUCUACACUCUUUCCCUACACGACGCUCUUCCGAUCUCGAAGAAGGACGUAGCAAUCUGCGAUAAGCCUCGGGGAGCUGAUAAGCGAGCUUUGAUCCGAGGAUGUCCGAAUGGGGAAACCCCGCUGGGAGCUUCGUGCUACCCAGUGACUCCCGCCUGAAUAUAUAGGGCGGGUAGAGGGAACGUGGGGAAGUGAAACAUCUCAGUACCCACAGGAAGAGAAAACAACAGUGAUUCCGGUAGUAGUGGCGAGCGAAACCGGAACAGGCCAAACCGAUCAUGUGUGAUAGCCGGCAGGCGUUGCAUGGUCGGGGUUGUGGGACUCUUACGGUUUUCUGCCGAAAACCACGUAGAUAGUUGUUGUAUAGACAAAUGGUCUUGAAAGGCCAGCCGCAGAGGGUGCCAGCCCCGUAGUUGAAAUGCAGCACUAAUGCGAAGAGGAUCCCAAGUAUCACGGGGCCCGAGAAAUCCCGUGUGAAUCUGCCAGGACCACCUGGUAAGCCUAAAUACUCCCAGAUGACCGAUAGCGGACAAGUACCGUGAGGGAAAGGUGAAAAGUACCCCGGGAGGGGAGUGAAAUAGAACCUGAAACCGUUUGCUUACAAUCCGUUGGAGCCUCCUUGUAGGGGUGACAGCGUGCCUUUUGAAGAAUGAGCCUGCGAGUUAGCGAUAUGUGGCGAGGUUAACCCGUGAGGGGUAGCCGUAGCGAAAGCGAGUCUGAAUAGGGCGAUUCAGUCGCAUGUCCUAGACCCGAAGCGAAGUGAUCUAUCCAUGGCCAGGUUGAAGCGACGGUAAGACGUCGUGGAGGACCGAACCCACUUGGGUUGAAAACCGAGGGGAUGAGCUGUGGAUAGGGGUGAAAGGCCAAUCAAACUUCGUGAUAGCUGGUUCUCUCCGAAAUGCAUUUAGGUGCAGCGUUGCGUGUUUCUUGCCGGAGGUAGAGCUACUGGAUGGCCGAUGGGCCCUAAAAGGUUACUGACGUCAGCCAAACUCCGAAUGCCGGUAAGUAAGAGCGCAGCAGUGAGACGGUGGGGGAUAAGCUUCAUCGUCGAGAGGGAAACAACCCAGACUACCGACUAAGGUCCCAAAGCGUGUGCUAAGUGGAAAAGGAUGUGGAGUUGCAUAGACAACCAGGAGGUUGGCUUAGAAGCAGCCACCCUUGAAAGAGUGCGUAAUAGCUCACUGGUCAAGUGAUUCCGCGCCGACAAUGUAACGGGGCUCAAGCACACCACCGAAGUCGUAGCAUUCAAACUAUAGGUAGGCCUUCGUGGUCCAGCCGUGUGAAUGGGUAGGAGAGCGUCGUGUGGCGAGCGAAGCGGCGGAGUGAUCCAGCCGUGGACGCCACACGAGUGAGAAUGCAGGCAUGAGUAGCGAAAGACGGGUGAGAAACCCGUCCUCCGGAAGACCAAGGGUUCCAGGGCCAGGCUAAUCCGCCCUGGGUAAGUCGGGACCUAAGACGAGGCCGACAGGCGUAGUCGAUGGACAACGGGUUGAUAUUCCCGUACCCGCGAAGAACCGCAAGAGCUAAACCAGUAAUGCUAAGAGUCCGAAUUCUCUUUCUGAUCCCUUCGGGGUGAGGAUUGAGAGCUAGCACUCGACCCUAUGCUGGCGCGGCUAGCGUAUUAACAGGUGUGACGCAGGAAGGUAGCUGAGCCGGGCGAUGGUUGUCCCGGUGUAAGGAUGUAGGGCGAGGAAUAGGCAAAUCCGUUCCUCACGAAGCCUGAGAUCCGACGCGUACCCCUCACGGGGGAAAUCAGUGAUCCUAUGCUGCCAAGAAAAGCAUCGACGCGAGGUUCUAGUGGCCCGUACCCCAAACCGACUCAGGUGGUCAGGUAGAGAAUACUAAGGAGAUCGAGAGAAUCGUGGUUAAGGAACUCGGCAAAAUGCCCCCGUAACUUCGGGAGAAGGGGGGCCGGAUUGGUGAAGGGAUUUACUCCUGGAGCUAUGAAGGCCGCAGAGACCAGUGGGAAGCGACUGUUUACUAAAAACACAGGUCCGUGCUAAGUCGCAAGACGAUGUAUACGGACUGACGCCUGCCCGGUGCUGGAAGGUUAAGAGGAGCGGUUAGCACUUGUGCAAAGCUGCGAAUUUAAGCCCCAGUAAACGGCGGUGGUAACUAUAACCAUCCUAAGGUAGCGAAAUUCCUUGUCGGGUAAGUUCCGACCUGCACGAAUGGCGUA